UUGGAUUGUCAACUGAAAACUCGCUGAAACUGAAACAGAGAACUGACAACUGGCGCUGCCAGAAAACUGGAACACUGUAGCUGCCGGAAAAAUUCAAAGUUGUCGGAAUUGAAAAAUAAAAAUAUGGAUAGGCUCGGAAUUCAAGGUUGAGCAAACUGUCCUGAAGAAAUUUUGGCCGGAAAGUACUGUUGCUGCCGGAAAAGUCAAUAAAGUCGCCGGAAAAAAAAUUUGAAUGUUGUCGGAAUCGAACGAAAAAAGGAUGGGUAGGGUCGGAAUUGAAGGGCGAGCAAACUAUCCUGAAGGAGUCACCGG
Molecule: long non-coding RNA, 312 nt
Filed under: Nicotiana benthamiana
Lineage: Eukaryota; Viridiplantae; Streptophyta; Magnoliopsida; Solanales; Solanaceae
Description: long non-coding RNA (NBEN_LNC022151)
Source: RNAcentral